CAGAGGGUGCGAGCGUUAAUCGGAAUUACUGGGCGUAAAGCGCGCGUAGGCGGCUUUGCAAGUCGGGUGUGAAAUCCCCAGGCUUAACCUGGGAACUGCAUUCGAGACUGCAUUGCUAGAGUAUGGGAGAGGGAAGUGGAAUUUCCGGUGUAGCGGUGAAAUGCGUAGAUAUCGGAAGGAACAUCAGUGGCGAAAGCGACUUUCUGGACCAAUACUGACGCUCAUGUGCGAAAGCGUGGGGAGCAAACAGGAUUAGAUACCCUGGUAGUCCACGCCAUAAACGAUGACAACUGGAUGUCGGGAGGGUCUGCCUCCCGGUGUCGUAGCUAACGCGUUAAGUUGUCCGCCUGGGGAGUACGGCCGCAAGGUUG
RNAcentral lists this ribosomal RNA (371 nucleotides) under uncultured organism. RNAcentral describes it as "bacterial SSU rRNA". It matches the Rfam family "Bacterial small subunit ribosomal RNA", at positions 526 to 896 of the family's 1533-position model. The record is from RNAcentral.